This 431-nucleotide ribosomal RNA is filed under the name uncultured bacterium. RNAcentral's name for it is "bacterial SSU rRNA". It matches the Rfam family "Bacterial small subunit ribosomal RNA", at positions 354 to 777 of the family's 1533-position model. The record is from RNAcentral.
GUAGGGAAUCUUCCACAAUGGACGCAAGUCUGAUGGAGCAACGCCGCGUGAGUGAAGAAGGUCUUCGGAUCGUAAAACUCUGUUGUUAGAGAAGAACACGAGUGAGAGUAACUGUUCAUUCGAUGACGGUAUCUAACCAGCAAGUCACGGCUAACUACGUGCCAGCAGCCGCGGUAAUACGUAGGUGGCAAGCGUUGUCCGGAUUUAUUGGGCGUAAAGGGAACGCAGGCGGUCUUUUAAGUCUGAUGUGAAAGCCUUCGGCUUAACCGGAGUAGUGCAUUGGAAACUGGAAGACUUGAGUGCAGAAGAGGAGAGUGGAACUCCAUGUGUAGCGGUGAAAUGCGUAGAUAUAUGGAAGAACACCAGUGGCGAAAGCGGCUCUCUGGUCUGUAACUGACGCUGAGGUUCGAAAGCGUGGGUAGCAAACAGGA